This 253-nucleotide ribosomal RNA is filed under the name uncultured microorganism. RNAcentral's name for it is "partial 16S ribosomal RNA". It matches the Rfam family "Bacterial small subunit ribosomal RNA", at positions 524 to 776 of the family's 1533-position model. The record is from RNAcentral.
UACGUAGGGUGCGAGCGUUAAUCGGAUUUACUGGGCGUAAAGCGUGCGCAGGCGGCCCGUUAAGACAGGUGUGAAAUCCCUGGGCUCAACCUAGGAAUUGCGCUUGUGACUGGCGGGCUCGAGUACGGUAGAGGGGGGUGGAAUUCCUGGUGUAGCAGUGAAAUGCGUAGAGAUCAGGAGGAACACCGAUGGCGAAGGCGGCCCCCUGGACAAAGACUGACGCUCAGGCACGAAAGCGUGGGGAGCAAACAGG